This 588-nucleotide ribosomal RNA is filed under the name Nopromaea sp. ZMUN 10030841. RNAcentral describes it as "partial 16S ribosomal RNA". It matches the Rfam family "Bacterial large subunit ribosomal RNA", at positions 1923 to 2735 of the family's 2925-position model. Lineage: Eukaryota; Metazoa; Arthropoda; Insecta; Coleoptera; Staphylinidae. The record is from RNAcentral.
UUUAAUGGCUGCAGUAAUUUGACUGUACAAAGGUAGCAUAAUCAUUAGUUUCUUAAUUAGAAGCUGGAAUGAAGGGUUGAACGAGAAAAUUUCUGUCUCUAAAUAAAUUUUUUAGAAUUUUAUUUUUAAGUUAAAAAGCUUAAAUUAGAUUAAAAGACGAGAAGACCCUAUAGAGUUUUAUAAAAAAAUUAAAUGAAUUUAUGAGAUUUUAUAUUUUAUUAAUUUAUUAAUUUUUUAUUUUGUUGGGGUGAUAAAAAAAUUUAGAGAACUUUUUUUUAAAAAAACAUUGAUUUAUGAACUAUUGAUCCAAAUAUUUUGAUUAUAAGAUUAAAUUACCUUAGGGAUAACAGCGUAAUUUCAUUUAAGAGUUCAAAUCGAUAAUGGAGAUUGCGACCUCGAUGUUGGAUUAAAAUUAAUUUUUGGUGUAGAAGCUAAAAUAUUAGGUCUGUUCGACCUUUAAAAUUUUACAUGAUCUGAGUUUAAACCGGUGUAAGCCAGGUUGGUUUCUAUCUUUAAUAUUAAAUAAUAUUUUAGUACGAAAGGACCAAAUAUUAGUAAAAUUUAUUUAUACUUGAAUUAUAAUAAAAA